This 1206-nucleotide long non-coding RNA is filed under the name Marmota monax (woodchuck). The record is from RNAcentral. Lineage: Eukaryota; Metazoa; Chordata; Mammalia; Rodentia; Sciuridae.
GGGGGCCGCGGUGGAGCAAGCAUUGGGAAUGGGAGCGAGGUGUGAACUCCUAUAUACUCAUCCAUCCACCCACCUGCCCAUCUAGGCACCUAGUCAUCCAUCCAUCCAUCCAUCUAUCCAUCCAUCUACCCAUCUGUCUAUCCACCCACUUGCUCAUCCAUCCAUCCACCCACUCAUUCCUCACCAUUUAUUAAAAACAUUUUUUUGAAUAGUUAGGACAUUUACAUGGAAGAGAUUCACAUAGAAUAAAGGAUAAGAAAAAUAGUAAGACCCUGGCAACUUGGUAUUCCUCCCAAGAGAAAAACAGUUACUAGUUUAUUUAAUUCCUUUGGGAGAUAUUUUGUGCACACAGAAGUGCGUAGACAACUAUGCUCUCUGUUCUGUGCCGCGGUCUCUCAGCGUGUCUUGAAGACCCAGAUGGCAUUCACACGUAGCUCUGGAAGGCUGUCGGCGGGCUGUGCAUGUUGCAGGAAGCUGGGCGAAUGCAGAUUAUCGAGGACAAGGACACAGGCUUUGAGAUGUUCUGCGAAGUGGCUCUGCAGAAACCAAACAUCUGAUUUUUCCCUUUCUGUCUGAGGAGGGGUGGCUGGAGUUUCACUCAUUUGCAUCCCUUGGGUUAUAAAUUGUUUUCUUUCCUGCUUCUCCGAACCCAAAAUAAGUGAACAGGGUGUUCCCCGUGACACAGCAGAGCCGUGGACAGCUACUGGCUCUUCUCACCAGGCUGGCCCCCAUUGGUAGGGAGCCCCCUUACCCCCCGACAUAAUCAGGUUUCACAUUUCAAAGCUUUCAAAAAGGUAAAAGAUUGGUACAGCAGCCGUCCUCGCGUCCUUCAUUUAGGGUCACCCAUGUUGGCGUUAGAUGUUUUUCCUGUUGCAUUUUUGCCCCCAACACUUGACAUUAUGACCCUUCACCUAUAAAUACUUCAGCCUAUGUCCCCUAAGAACGAGGACACUCUCCACAUAACCCCACAGAACAAUGAUCGCACGAGAAAUUCAUCCUGAUGGAACAACUUUAAGGUAGAGCCCACCUUCAAACCUCCUGUUUGUUUUCUCUCUGGAGCUGCUCCCCACCCUGGUCCAGAUCCAAUCAGGAUUAGCUGCUGCGUCCAGUUGUCCUGUCUCCCAGGUCCUUUCAUCCAGAAUGCUCCCCGAUUCCCCUCCUCUCCGUUUCUUUCCUUCUCUUAUGACAUUGGCAUUUUUAAAGGAC